Molecule: ribosomal RNA, 681 nt
Filed under: uncultured archaeon
Lineage: Archaea
Description: bacterial SSU rRNA
Rfam family: Archaeal small subunit ribosomal RNA
Source: RNAcentral
ACGGCUCAGUAACACGUCGGUAACCUACCCUCGGGAGGGGGAUAACCCCGGGAAACUGGGGCUAAUCCCCCAUAGGCCUGGGGUACUGGAAGGUCCCCAGGCCGAAAAGGGCUCUCGCCCGCCCGAGGAUGGGCCGGCGGCCGAUUAGGUAGUUGGUGGGGUAACGGCCCACCAAGCCGAAGAUCGGUACGGGCUGUGAGAGCAGGAGCCCGGAGAUGGACACUGAGACACGGGUCCAGGCCCUACGGGGCGCAGCAGGCGCGAAACCUCCGCAAUGCGGGAAACCGCGACGGGGGGACCCCGAGUGCCGUGGCAUCGCCACGGCUUUUCCGGAGUGUAAAAAGCUCCGGGAAUAAGGGCUGGGCAAGGCCGGUGGCAGCCGCCGCGGUAAUACCGGCGGCCCGAGUGGUGGCCGCUAUUAUUGGGCCUAAAGCGUCCGUAGCCGGGCCCGUAAGUCCCUGGCGAAAUCCCACGGCUCAACCGUGGGGCUUGCUGGGGAUACUGCGGGCCUUGGGACCGGGAGAGGCCGGGGGUACCCCUGGGGUAGGGGUGAAAUCCUAUAAUCCCAGGGGGACCGCCAGUGGCGAAGGCGCCCGGCUGGAACGGGUCCGACGGUGAGGGACGAAGGCCAGGGGAGCAAACCGGAUUAGAUACCCGGGUAGUCCUGGCUGUAAAGGAUGC